GUAGGGAAUUUUCGGCAAUGGGGGGAACCCUGACCGAGCAACGCCGCGUGAGGGAGGAAGUAUUUCGGUAUGUAAACCUCUGUUAUAAAGGAAGAACGGCAUAUGCAGGGAAUGGCAUAUGAGUGACGGUACUUUAUGAGGAAGCCACGGCUAACUACGUGCCAGCAGCCGCGGUAAUACGUAGGUGGCGAGCGUUAUCCGGAAUCAUUGGGCGUAAAGAGGGAGCAGGCGGCAGCUAGGGUCUGCGGUGAAAGCCCGAAGCUUAACUUCGGCGAGCCGUGGAAACCGAGCAGCUAGAGUGCAGUAGAGGAUCGUGGAAUUCCAUGUGUAGCGGUGAAAUGCGUAGAUAUAUGGAGGAACACCAGUGGCGAAGGCGACGAUCUGGGCUGCAACUGACGCUCAGUCCCGAAAGCGUGGGGAGCAAAUAGGAUUAGAAACCCUAGUAGUCC
Molecule: ribosomal RNA, 449 nt
Filed under: uncultured bacterium
Lineage: Bacteria
Description: bacterial SSU rRNA
Rfam family: Bacterial small subunit ribosomal RNA
Source: RNAcentral